This 553-nucleotide ribosomal RNA is filed under the name bacterium GWS2C. Its description in RNAcentral is "bacterial SSU rRNA". It matches the Rfam family "Bacterial small subunit ribosomal RNA", at positions 338 to 881 of the family's 1533-position model. The record is from RNAcentral.
CCUACGGGGAGGCAGCAGUAGGGAAUCUUCCACAAUGGACGCAAGUCUGAUGGAGCAACGCCGCGUGAGUGAAGAAGGGUUUCGGCUCGUAAAGCUCUGUUGUUAAAGAAGAACGUGGGUGAGAGUAACUGUUCACCCAGUGACGGUAUUUAACCAGAAAGCCACGGCUAACUACGUGCCAGCAGCCGCGGUAAUACGUAGGUGGCAAGCGUUAUCCGGAUUUAUUGGGCGUAAAGCGAGCGCAGGCGGUCUUUUAAGUCUAAUGUGAAAGCCUUCGGCUCAACCGAAGAAGUGCAUUGGAAACUGGGAGACUUGAGUGCAGAAGAGGACAGUGGAACUCCAUGUGUAGCGGUGAAAUGCGUAGAUAUAUGGAAGAACACCAGUGGCGAAGGCGGCUGUCUGGUCUGUAACUGACGCUGAGGCUCGAAAGCAUGGGUAGCGAACAGGAUUAGAUACCCUGGUAGUCCAUGCCGUAAACGAUGAUUACUAAGUGUUGGAGGGUUUCCGCCCUUCAGUGCUGCAGCUAACGCAUUAAGUAAUCCGCCUGGGGAGU